This is a long non-coding RNA of Bos taurus (domestic cattle), 431 nucleotides long. The record is from Ensembl. NCBI's taxonomy places the organism in Eukaryota, Metazoa, Chordata, Mammalia, Artiodactyla, Bovidae.
CCUUUAAUGCUGCAACUUUCCUCUCAUUUAAAAUUGAAGCUCAAAGAUCAUCACCCAACCUUCCUCCAGCACGUCUACCACGCUCUCUAGGAGGAAAACCACCUGUCUGGGAAGGACACGUUAGCGGGGGAAUAACCGUUUAGCCAGCCAGUGGUUCUGUCACCCCCCUGCUGCAGGAGUCCUGUGUUGUUCUAGACUUUAUUUGCUUCCUCCCUUGGGGCACUCUGCAAGAAGCUGGAGAAUGUAUUUUUAUCCUGCUGGGUAGAGAGACUGCAAAGGAGGUCACUGUUACAGCUGUGACCUUCUCCUGGAGACAUGAGAUUCCCUGUGGCCAGAAACAGCCCCAGAAGCCUGCGUGUGCAUCUGGGAUACGUGCCGUUUUCCCAGGCUGAGCAGGGAAGGAAGCUGGAGCCCACAAGGUUUAGUGAUUC